AACUCUCGCUCCCAUUUCUAGUUAGCAAAAGAAAAAAUCUCUCUACACAUUAAAGCAUUUUGCCCCAAACAAAAAAAUACAGAAACCCUAAACCCUAACUUUCUCUCCUUCUCAGUUUUCUCCCAAAAAUUCUCCAUUGUAAGCUUAUCGAUGACAGGUGGACAUUUUCAUAAUCCUUCUUCACCAUUAUCUUUCAGACGAGAGAAACAAUCAGAAGAAUCUUGAAUUUAGAGGAAUCGAAGGAUCUAUGAGUAGUGGCGAUGAAGACAGAUUUGGUCUCUCGGUGAAUAUGUCAGCUUCUUCUCAUUCAUCAUUCUCACCAUUUUGGAUAUCGGUUUUAUCUAGAAUUUUGCAUGAAUAUCAGUUCUUGUAAACUUUGUUCUUUGUGCUUUCUGUUUGUUGGUGCUGGUAUUUCAAUAUAAAUCGGCGAGUAUGUAAGUGUUGGAUUCUAUCUUUCUUAGAGAUUAUUGGUUUUGACAUCUUCAUUCUGCUUCUAAGGUUUUUGAAUUUGUACUUCGUUUUCAUUCUACUCAUGAAGUUUUUGAAUUUGUACUUCGUUUUCCUUUUUGUAUUAUACUUAUCACAACUUUCUUCUCUCUAAUUGGUGUUUUUGUGUUCUGGCAUAUAUAACAUUGCUAUUGGAUUGUUCUUAAAAUGAAGCGACAAAUUAUGCACAUGACCAAAUACAUUCAUCCCAUUCAACCUGGCAAAUUAGGCUGGGGUGUACAGAUGACAAAUGUACGGGGAAUAUAGAGUUUAGUCAAUCGCAGUCUGGAGUUCGCGAAUUAAUCUCAUGUGACAUGCACUAGUUUUGAGGGAUAUGCAUAUCUAGUGUUAAUAUUGAAAGAGAGAAAUUUGAAGUGCUCGUGGAGAUACAAGGAGAGGGCAUGAUUUUGGAUCAAGAGUUUCUUCUUUAGAGCCAUUCCGACAAACAUGAAUUUAUCUAACCCCUUAAUGGUCACGUAUGGAAAAUAGUUAUUACUGAAAGUGAAAACUGAAAGCUGUAAAGCAUAGGAUGCAGCUAAACACUGUAAAUAGACUUGCUCUGACUGGGACUCCGGAAUACAGAGCAAGUGGUGGGCUACUGAAAGAAUACUUAUUCUGCUUGAGAGACGGUGUUUCCCUCAUCUGGAGAGAGUUAAUAUAAGUUGUGGGCUAUCCUGAGCAGACUUUGAAUCCAUCUCUGUGAUUAUAGUUGUGUUACUAUCGAUAUGUGAGAUUUUAUCCUUCAGGCAGAUUCCUUUGCAAGAAUUCAUCACAAAAAGCAAAGAUGUCGCGAUGUACCUGAACUUUUGUUCCUCAAAUGCUGAUUGUGUUUUUAAGGGGAGUUACACACUAUCAGAGGAUAAAGUUGGUAUGGAUCUGUAUAACCUUGGUCAGGACUUUGGGUUAUGACUUCACCAAUAUUACUACCUACGAGAGACCAAAUCAGUUUUUCUCUUGCAAAAGCAUAAAGUUUUGGCACUGCGAUGGGUGGUCUUCCUGAAAAGGUCAAUGGAAAAAGUGCUCCCUUUUGCGAACAACUUCACAUUGAUAACUUCAUACAAAUGUGGUUGAUUCUCAUUACCUGAUGGAAGUUUGGUACAUUACUGCCGCAAGUAGACAUUAAAUACAUAUUUAUCAAAUUUUCAUUCUAGGAAGGGCCUGGAAGAAACAAAGGAUUAUGGGAAGGAUUCUCCUCCAAUCUUGGACCUGAGGUGACCUCUGCUUUGCAGAAUCUAGCGGCUGAAAGUGGUAAGACUGAUUGGGAGUUGGCUUUUGUUGAGACAACUAGUCAUCUAUCUCAUCAGAAGGCAGCAAUAGGCGGUAGACUUGAUCUGCUGUUGUUGAAUGGAUGUAUGAUCGAGGGAUGGUUAGGCAACAUGUUGUCACUGCCCAUUGGAGUUGUGGUAGUGCGAGCAGUGUAGCAUUUACCUGGGCAAGGGAAGAGUUCAACACGUUUUAGCACUCCCUGCACACCAAAAACAGCCCAGACAGUUGGACAGGACUGCAUCUUUGAUUUUCCCACCUCCUUCAUAUAUACAAAUGGCGGAUUUGGAGAAGAAACAGUAAUUACUAUAGGACCAAAUCGUAUGGCAGCAAUACGCUAGAAAUGGGAUGCAAGAACCGACGAUUUUGUCCAAGAUCAGCAGUGGCGGAUACUAUGGUACACAACCAGCCGGGAUGCCUUAUUGCAUGCCAUCAAUAAGUGGCGUUGCAGUGCCACCUGCUGGAGGUGAGGGUAAUUAGUCGAUGAGAAAUUGGCUGAUGAGAAUAGAUACUAUGGAGUUGAUGGUAGAGAAAUUGAUAUAGGCUGACAUUUCAAAAUUUCUCCAAUAGAAGGAAAAUUCAGCUAUCCAACAGAUGUGAUAUGUGUAAAAUGAAGUGGAAACAACAAAAUAAUAGGUUGUCAUUUGUCUUAAUCUUGAAGCCUAGUUCUUGUUUACCUGUUCUCUUUUGCAAUGGAGGUGUAUUUAUUUCAAAGGGUGUUAGCAUUGUUCUGGUUGAGCCUCAUAGACAUGGAUGCGUGUUCAUUGCCAAGGGCAAGGAAGAUGAUCUUUUUACUAAUAAUGGGUACCCGGUGAAGCUGUCUACAAUAAAAAGAGAAUCCUUGUUCAGGAAAAUGCCGCUGAUUGAAUUUGAUGAAUAGAGUACAAAAGUAAACUCAAUCUAUUGUGUGUAUAUAUAUAUAUAUAUAUAUAUAUAUAUAUAUAACUAGUGAAACUAUUUGCGCUUUGCGCGAUUAUAUGAAAUAUUUAUAAGAUAAUAAUAUGAAAUAUAUAAUAUUUAGGUUAGUAUCGAA
Molecule: RNA transcript, 2782 nt
Organism: Solanum pennellii
Lineage: Eukaryota; Viridiplantae; Streptophyta; Magnoliopsida; Solanales; Solanaceae
Exons: 8
Source: RefSeq, a predicted model, not a curated record